Eriocheir sinensis (Chinese mitten crab) is the source of this 813-nucleotide long non-coding RNA. RefSeq lists it as uncharacterized. NCBI's taxonomy places the organism in Eukaryota, Metazoa, Arthropoda, Malacostraca, Decapoda, Varunidae. The transcript has 2 exons. The record is from RefSeq and is a predicted model, not a curated record.
AAGGAAGAGCGACCCUUUUAACUGCGUCCUGCCCCACCAUGCAUGCUGUUAGUGGGGUCCUGCGGGAUACUUAAGGAUGUGAGUGAAGGAUAUGGAGCGAGGGAGAGCGAUUUGGGUAAGAGGAGAAAUUGAAGCAUCCUAUAAGUGGAGUCCUGCAGGGAUGUGAGUGAAGGAUAUGGUACGAGGGAGAGCGAUUUAGGGAAGAGGUAGAUUAUUAAAGGAGAAAUUGAGGGAAAAUGAAGCUAGAUGUGAAUUAUAAGUUAGAAUUUUGCAAGAUACUUAAGCAAUAGAUAUGAAUGAGGGUAAAUUUAGGAGUAAUGAAAGUUGGGGGUAACUUAUAAGUGUGAGAGUAAUUAGAAGGAAAUGAAGGUAAAUGAAACUAGAUGUGAAUUAUAAGUAGAAUUUUUUGGAAGGUACUUAAGCAAUAGAUAUAAAUGAGGGAUAAGUGAGGGAGUGAAUAAGUAUAAUUAAUGAAAGCUGGAGGUAUUUAUAAGUGUGAGAGCAAUUAAAGUUAGAAGUAAAUUAUAAGUAAGUCGGAGAAAUUUGAGAAUAGGGAAUAGGGGAAAGAAUAAGAAAAUAAGGAGAAACUUGAGGAAAAGGAGAAAUGAAGGAGAGGAAUAAUUGGAGAAAGACUUGAACGGAAGACUUAAGAGGAAAUAAAGAGAGAAGAGGAAAUAGGAAACUGAGAGAAAAAAGGAGAGAGAGAGAGAAGAGGAAAUAGGAAACUGAGGAAAAAGGAGAGAGAGAGAAGAGGAAAAAAGGUGUGAGAGAGAGAGAGAGAGAGAGAGAGAGAGAGAGAGAGAGAGAGAGAGA